AUGAAUUUCACCACCAAAAACACAACAACUUCUCCAAUCAUAAAAUACCGCUCCUUCCAUAUUGAUUGUGCUUUGGCAACUAGAUGCAGUGCUAGGCUUCACUCUGCAAGGUGUUUAAAAAGAAAAACAGGUUACCCAGGAUUUAUCAUGGAGUGGAACAAUGCAAACAGUGCCUCUCUCUAGAUGGGAACUUUGCUUCAUGGGACAUUACACAGAUGCAAAACCACUGCACUCCCUGUGACAGUCUGCAUUUAAAGCUCUAUUUUUUAAAAGGUAAGAGAGAAAAGGGAGUUAAUUUUAGUAGUUUCCCCUUCACCACAUGUCUGUCAUUUUCGAGAAAAGAAAAGCCAUUUCCAGAGCAUUACUGUCAUUUCUAAACAAACUACACACAGUCUCCUAGCAGCCACAGACACCCCUGAUAAGGACAAAUAGAUACAUAAAGACAGGCAUUAAGAUUGCAAUGUCACACCCCAGAAGCCAUUUCCAUGAAAUUUCCCAAAAUGGGAGAAAAACACCUCAGUCUGGUUGUCAGACACAUAUCAGAAGAUAUAAUUGCAUUCUGGGAGACUAGGCAAAUCCAGAAGCAAUGACAAGUACAUUAGUGAUAGAAUCAGUUCCUAGCAAGUACAAGUUCCAUCAACUGCUAUAUCUCACCGUAUGGGCCAUGUCCAAAUGAACUGCACAGUAAGAUAUUAGAGAUUCCUCUCACUACCAGGAUGCCUGGAAACACAGAAUUACUUGACUUGAGUUUCAGUCCACACAGUCAUAAGAAGGGCAGUCCCAUGACAGGCCCCUAAGUGAGAAGCUCUCUCUACCUGAACAAACCUAUAGAAUUAUGGUCCCAUUAGGCAACAUUGGAAUCAACCUGUGUGCAGUUUAGGUGCUAUAACAGGAAGCAGAUUUUUAAAAUAAUUGCCAGUUCCAUAGCUGGUUUUAGUGUACCAUCAUCCCUUUGCCCACUCUUAGCUUAAGAACAACUAUCCAGAGUGGAAAGACCAUAGCUGAACUGACAAAUAAAGGUCUACAUGCAUUCUCA
This 1036-nucleotide long non-coding RNA is filed under the name Oryctolagus cuniculus (rabbit). RNAcentral's name for it is "lncRNA (ENSOCUG00000036602.1)". Lineage: Eukaryota; Metazoa; Chordata; Mammalia; Lagomorpha; Leporidae. The record is from RNAcentral.